Molecule: transfer RNA, 73 nt
Filed under: Stenocercus rhodomelas
Lineage: Eukaryota; Metazoa; Chordata; Lepidosauria; Squamata; Tropiduridae
Description: tRNA-Ile
Rfam family: tRNA
About the family: Transfer RNA (tRNA) molecules are approximately 80 nucleotides in length. Their secondary structure includes four short double-helical elements and three loops (D, anti-codon, and T loops). Further hydrogen bonds mediate the characteristic L-shaped molecular structure. tRNAs have two regions of fundamental functional importance: the anti-codon, which is responsible for specific mRNA codon recognition, and the 3' end, to which the tRNAs corresponding amino acid is attached (by aminoacyl-tRNA synthetases). tRNAs cope with the degeneracy of the genetic code in two manners: having more than one tRNA (with a specific anti-codon) for a particular amino acid; and 'wobble' base-pairing, i.e. permitting non-standard base-pairing at the 3rd anti-codon position.
Source: RNAcentral
GGAAAUAUGCCCGAGCUAUUUAAGGACUACUUUGAUAGAGUAAACUACAGAGGUUAAAACCCUCUUAUUUCCC